CCUACGGGUGGCUGCAGUCGAGAAUCAUUCACAAUGGGGGAAACCCUGAUGGUGCGACGCCGCGUGGGGGAAUGAAGGUCUUCGGAUUGUAAACCCCUGUCAUGUGGGAGCAAAUUAAAAAGAUAGUACCACAAGAGGAAGAGACGGCUAACUCUGUGCCAGCAGCCGCGGUAAUACAGAGGUCUCAAGCGUUGUUCGGAAUCACUGGGCGUAAAGCGUGCGUAGGCUGUUUCGUAAGUCGUGUGUGAAAGGCGCGGGCUCAACCCGCGGACGGCACAUGAUACUGCGAGACUAGAGUAAGGGAGGGGGAACCGGAAUUCUCGGUGUAGCAGUGAAAUGCGUAGAUAUCGAGAGGAACACUCGUGGCGAAGGCGGGUUCCUGGACAUUAACUGACGCUGAGGCACAAAGGCCAGGGGAGCGAAAGGGAUUAGAUACCCGAGUAGUC
RNAcentral lists this ribosomal RNA (446 nucleotides) under uncultured bacterium. Its description in RNAcentral is "partial 16S ribosomal RNA". It matches the Rfam family "Bacterial small subunit ribosomal RNA", at positions 338 to 795 of the family's 1533-position model. The record is from RNAcentral.